This 976-nucleotide long non-coding RNA is filed under the name Anas platyrhynchos platyrhynchos (common mallard). RNAcentral describes it as "lncRNA (ENSAPLG00000031107.1)". Lineage: Eukaryota; Metazoa; Chordata; Aves; Anseriformes; Anatidae. The record is from RNAcentral.
AUGGAGGUCAUGUACUUGGAGGCAUGUGAUGGCCACCCUUUGUGUGGGAUCCAGCAGCUGUGUCCCAUUAUAGAGACCUACAACUGCUCUUUAGAUGGAAAAACACAACCAGCCCUGUCAGAUGGGUGGACGCCCUGGAUCCCAGGGCCCUUCUGUAGGACAGUUCAGAGGAGCCUAUGCAUGCUGGGGCCUAGAAAAAGACUCCUGUGUAGAUACAUUUGGGGACAGUCCAAUGACUUGUUUACUUCUACGCUCAGUGCUCUGAGCAUCCUGUGGAAGCACCCUACACUGCAGUCUGGAAAGUGGCUCCUUAGGCAUGCGAAGGUCUACUUCAGAAAUGACAAAAAGGAAAAAGCAGUUUUCAAUAGGCAGCUGGGUCCUGUAUGGAUGGAGACAAUACACCAAAAGAGGACAGCUUGACUGUAUGAUAUGGCAGAAUAGUAUCUCAGGGAGUAUCGGAAAGAAGUCAACUUGCUGCAUUAAUAGGGGCUCCGUGUCCCACUGUGCUGACCUCAAGCUUCAGGUAAGGGAGAAGCGUGGUGAAAGGAGAUGCUGGUCUGCUCCAGGUGAGGAUUCUGGCAACUCCUUAGUGUUGCUACGGUACUUUUCAAGUAAAGAUACUUCUGAAACCUGCUAGGGAAGUCUGGUCGAUUUAUCGGUUAAUUGAGGGACAUUGUUUUCUGGUUGCAGGUUGAUCCACAUUUUGGAUUCUUCCAAUGUCUGCAAGACUUUACCAAGUAGCUUGAUCAAACAGUUUUCAGACCGAUGGGUCUCUUCAGUCUGUUUGUUCUGAUUACUGGCUUUUCUUUACAUCCAGUGUUUACUGUUGGUUCAGCUUGGAUGUCUGAAACUUCUAAAGCAGAACAAUCAGUGGUGGAUAAUGAGAGUCACAAAUAUUCCUGUUCCCGUGUGAGCAGGGGCAAUGGAGUAUUCACAUAAAACAUUCCUACAAAUAAAUCUCUAUUUUUUAACUACA